CCGCAGCCGCGGGAAUACGUAGGUGGCAAGCGUUGUCCGGAACUAUUGGGCGUAAAGGGCUCGCAGGCGGUUUCUUAAGUCUGAUGUGAAAGGACAGGGCUUAACCCUGUGAAAGCGGCGGAAACUGAAGAACUUGAGCGAGGUAGGGGCAGGGGGAACUCCCGGUGAAGCGGUGAAAUGCGCAGAUAUCAGGAGGAACACCGGUGGCGAAGGCGGGUCUCUGGGCCGAUAUUGACGCUGAGGAGCGAAAGCGUGGGGAGCGAACAGGAUUAGAUACCCCUGUAGUCCCUGUCUCUUAUAC
Molecule: ribosomal RNA, 301 nt
Filed under: uncultured bacterium
Lineage: Bacteria
Description: partial 16S ribosomal RNA
Rfam family: Bacterial small subunit ribosomal RNA
Source: RNAcentral